CGUGUAGGCGGCCAACUAAGUCGGAUGUGAAAGACCUCGGCUCAACCGAGGAACUGCAUUCGAUACUGGUUGGCUAGAGUGCGAGAGGGGCAAGUGGAACUCCAGGUGUAGCGGUGAAAUGCGUAGAUAUCUGGAGGAACGCCGGUGGCGAAAGCGACUUGCUGGCUCGCAACUGACGCUGAGGCGCGAAAGCUAGGGUAGCGAACAGGAUUAGAUACCCUGGUAGUCC
This 229-nucleotide ribosomal RNA is filed under the name uncultured bacterium. Its description in RNAcentral is "partial 16S ribosomal RNA". It matches the Rfam family "Bacterial small subunit ribosomal RNA", at positions 568 to 796 of the family's 1533-position model. The record is from RNAcentral.